RNAcentral lists this ribosomal RNA (253 nucleotides) under uncultured bacterium. Its description in RNAcentral is "partial 16S ribosomal RNA". It matches the Rfam family "Bacterial small subunit ribosomal RNA", at positions 524 to 776 of the family's 1533-position model. The record is from RNAcentral.
UACGGAGGGUGCAAACGUUGCUCGGAAUCAUUGGGCGUAAAGCGCACGUAGGCGGCCUGUUAAGUCGGGUGUGAAAGCCCUGGGCUCAACCCAGGAAGUGCACUCGAAACUGGCGGGCUUGAAUAUGGAAGAGGGUCGCGGAAUUCCCGGUGUAGAGGUGAAAUUCGUAGAUAUCGGGAGGAACACCAGUGGCGAAGGCGGCGACCUGGGCCAAUAUUGACGCUGAGGGGCGAAAGCGUGGGGAGCGAACAGG